AUUUAUAAGUAACACUCUGCUUACACUUUUGUAGAAGGUGACACUUAAAGUAACACUUUUAACGUAGGUAACAUGACAAAGUAACACUUUUAAAAUAAGUAACGUUUUAUAGUAACAUUAAUUUAUUUAUUUAUUUUUUCUAAAUUUCUCUACGGUUUUCUUGGAAUUAACCUGAUUUUCAUUGACUCAAAAAAAAAAAAAAAAAACUUCAGCCUCUUUUUUCACUCUUCUUCUUUCUCCUCUAUCAAGCUGAUGGUUCGAUGAAGUCCUUAUCGAAGCUCUUGCUCCAUCAUUGAAGCAACUUUCUAAUCUUUUCCUUCAUUGAAGCGACUACAUUCUAAACUCUCUUCGAUCCUCCGCAAAUCUGAGCAUUCCUCUUUAUUGAAGAUUAGAAACGGCUUAAGAGUACUAUGAUCGGCUUCCGAAUCUAGAUGGUUGUUGGGUUUCCUUUUCUUUAACCAACCUGGUUGUAUUAGCUCACCGCCGCUGGCUGACUAUAGUGCCCCCUUGAACCGCGCGAAAAACCUUCAUCUCAUAAUGGAUCAGCGAUUCAUUGGGUUCAGAUUGAAAGUAGGUGUGUUUUCUUUUUAAAUUAAGGCCUAAAAUUUUCAAAUUUGUGAAACUAUCUGGUAAUUUCAUCUGUAAAUUAUUUUAGCUUGAAUAUGUGGGUUUAUUUGAUUUUAAUUUAAGCAUCAAUAAUUUUAUAAGAAUGUCUUCUCCAGUUUCCUCUUCCCCAUUUUUAAAAAUUAGCUUCUGUUUUGUGUACCUGUAUUACUUAUUUGCUGAAAUCAAUCAUGAAUAUCGGUAUAUAUAUUGUUGUAUUGUUGCAAAAUUGGGUGUAUAUUGAUGUAUUGUUGUAAAAUUGGGUGCCAAUAUUAUAUAUCUUAUAUUUUGUUCUUGUUUGCUGCCUGGGAAUAAGUUUGUGCUUUAGUUUGUAAAUAAAUGCGAUGCUUGGAUUAUAUCACAUAUUGAUAGUUGCUGCGAUUUUCUCAUGAAAUGAUCUAGAUGUAGCAAAAUUUUCUGAAGAAUACAGUGGUCAAAAUUCACCUUAUCUAACAAAUUCAGUUUCUUUAUUGACGAAUUUCUUUGAAAAAUUCUGUCAUUUUCUGAAUUUGAGUCGUGGAUUGGUGGUAGACUCCUUCGAAUACUCUGUCUGUGAGCGUGGAACAGCUGCUAAUUUUCUAGACCGUUGGUAUGCUUAUCUUCUGUUCAUUUUUCUCCAUAGUUGAUUAGUUGUAAGCUUUAUAUGGUUUUCUUCAAAUAAUCUUGUAAUGAUCAGAAUUCUCUUACUAAUUUUCUUGUUGGCUUUGCUGAGCAUAACAUGUUGCUUAAGAUUGAGUAUGGAUAGCUUGUUCAAGUAUCUAAUGUAAAAAUAAGCUAUAUUGAAAGUUAACCUAUUUUUUGGCUUAGUUUUUAACUGGUAUUUCUGAUUAUGGAUAUUAGCCUAUUUCAUUGCAGUGAAACUAUGUAUAAUCUAUUGAAGGAUGCAUUUGAGUGAGAAUUUGAACUAUAUUUCUCAUGUAGGAUUGAAAUAAUACCUUGUAAAGUAACUGCGUAUGAUAUUCUAAACUGAAUUUAAAGCCUAUGGGGUAUAGUAUAUUUUCUGAUUAAUGUGAUUACCUUAUCAAAAAACUUAGGUUUUAUUUAAAAGCUAUGAGUGCUAAUGAAGGAUGCAAAUAAAGAAAAGCCAAGUACUUGGCGGGUCUAUCACUGCUUGAUCAUAGUCAUCUCAAAUAUUGGCUCUGAAUUGUGGCAGCAACACUUUUUAUCCUCGUCUCCCCGGCAGCAAAUCACUUUAAUGCCUAAUAGAUUGGUGAAUGGGAUUGCAAAGGAGUUCAUUUUUAAUGUAUUUUCAGGUAUGAGAUGUUUUUUGUACUCUAGAUGCUUUAAAUUUUCAUUUUGAACUAGAUCAAAUAAAAACUAUCCUCGGUAACUACAACUGAAAAAAUUGAAGCUAUGUGUAUACCAACAAUUUAGUGUCUCAUCGAAGAGCUUUAUUCCUGGUUCAUGCUAUGUUUAAUGUGUUAUCUUUCCCUUAGUAAAAAUGAUCAUUUUUCUACCUUUUAGUUAAUUGAAACCACAUUUUCUAGGUGACUAACAUCUAAUUUUGUUGGGUUUUUUUUUUUCUUUUUCAAAUUCAAUAUAUUUUCCAAAAAAUUAUCUCGCUUCUUUAAUUAAGCUGGUAAGCAAAGAAUUAUAGUAACAAUAGGCAUUAAGAAUCUUUGGUUGAUAUUAUAACGUUUUUGUUAUCCUCAAGAAACUAUUGUGAGCUCUCAUGAGGGUAGUUACCAUAAAUUAUGAGAUAAUCAGACUUAGUUAGGUAUGCUAAAGUUAAUGGUGGGGAUUGAAAUACAUUUUUUUUAAAAAGAAAACUUAUUGAUCAAAGGAAACUUAUGCAUCUGGCUCCCCUCGAUCAUCAAUUGGUUUUAUAACUUUAUCUUAUGAAAUAAUGCAAAUAAUAUUCAAGUAAUAUUAAAUUGCUCGUAAUUAAUCAUUUGUUACUCUUGUGCUGCUAUAUUGAAGGGUGAUGAAUGCUUAAGAAAUUUUAGUCUUAAUCAUUCAUUACUUUGCCAAAAUAUAUUAAUUAGUGCUUGAAUUGUUAAUUUGAAAUCAUGUGCUUAUACUACUCCCAAGAUGAAAUUUUCAGUCUCAUUGACUUGAGAGUUUAUUGACAGAUGGCCUGUAAAAAGGUAAAACUCGCAAGAUGAAAUUUUUAUUCUCAUUUUCUGAAAGUUCUUACUACAUCACUAACUUGAUGGCAAUUGCAUGUAUGAGGCAGCUGGAAUAUAAUGGAAUUUGUGUAGAUUUAAAAAAUAUGGAGCCGAUCAUAAAAACCCGAUAAUGCUAGCACAAUUACCAUAUGGGAGGAUGAGUGGUUUGAUAUAUGAUGUAUUCAUACCAAGGAUCAAAUGGAUAAAGAUGAAGGAUUGGGGUAACAAGUGAUAAUGCUAGAAGAAGCACUUACUAUUACUGUUGUUUUGCUGCUGCUACUACUGUUUGUUUUGCUGCUACUACAAUCUGUUGCUGACUCCUACUUUUGUUUGAUGCCACUGAUGUGUGCUAUUGUUGUCUGCUGCUACAUACUGCUGUCUGCUGGUAGCUUCUGUUACUGCUGAUGCGUUCUGCUAGCUAGCUGCUGCUUUAUCAAUGUUGUUUACUGCUAUCACGCUGACUAUUUUUUGAAAUUUGGAAGUUUUUCGUAUUUAUUUCCUCACUUUUUGUUUGGAAUAUUAUAUUGUUUGGCCAAACAUUAAAAUUGGUGUUUGUGGAUUUUUUUGUAAGAUUUAUGAAAUAAUUUCAUUCAAAAUUGUUGUCUAUCAUGUAUGUUAAUAUCUCAUUCAUA
This is a long non-coding RNA of Chenopodium quinoa (quinoa), 3343 nucleotides long. RefSeq lists it as uncharacterized. NCBI's taxonomy places the organism in Eukaryota, Viridiplantae, Streptophyta, Magnoliopsida, Caryophyllales, Amaranthaceae. The transcript is spliced from 3 exons. The record is from RefSeq and is a predicted model, not a curated record.